RNAcentral lists this transfer RNA (58 nucleotides) under Wuchereria bancrofti. Its description in RNAcentral is "tRNA-His". RNAcentral also lists the same sequence under 1 other name. The record is from RNAcentral. Lineage: Eukaryota; Metazoa; Nematoda; Chromadorea; Rhabditida; Onchocercidae.
AAAUUCUUAGUUUAAUUUUUAAAUAUUUAGUUGUGGUCUAAAAGAUCUUAGGAAUUUU